GUUUCUGAAUGCACUUGAAAUUGAUAUUUAUUCUGUGUCAACAAAUCUUAUCUAAUUAUAAAACGGUUGGCUCCAGGUUUACUCUCUUAAGCACGAUAUAACAGAUGUAAAGUGCCUUAUGCCAGGCUUACUACUGGCCAUCAGGAGAGUAGUGCGGCUCAAGAAUCUGGUGUAUGGCUUGGAGAAGUUUCUGUAGAGACUCAAUCUUCUUCAGCCUCGUCUAAUCGAAGAGAAGACAGCACAGAGGA
Telopea speciosissima is the source of this 248-nucleotide long non-coding RNA. RefSeq lists it as uncharacterized. The transcript is spliced from 2 exons. Lineage: Eukaryota; Viridiplantae; Streptophyta; Magnoliopsida; Proteales; Proteaceae. The record is from RefSeq and is a predicted model, not a curated record.